RNAcentral lists this RNase P RNA (375 nucleotides) under Salmonella enterica. RNAcentral's name for it is "RNase P RNA component class A". It matches the Rfam family "Bacterial RNase P class A". From Rfam's summary of the family: Ribonuclease P (RNase P) is a ubiquitous endoribonuclease, found in archaea, bacteria and eukarya as well as chloroplasts and mitochondria. Its best characterised activity is the generation of mature 5'-ends of tRNAs by cleaving the 5'-leader elements of precursor-tRNAs. Cellular RNase Ps are ribonucleoproteins. The record is from RNAcentral. Lineage: Bacteria; Pseudomonadati; Pseudomonadota; Gammaproteobacteria; Enterobacterales; Enterobacteriaceae.
GAAGCUGACCAGACAGUCGCCGCUUCGUCGUCGUUCUUUCGGGGAGACGGGCGGAGGGGAGGAAAGUCCGGGCUCCAUAGGGCAGGGUGCCAGGUAACGCCUGGGGGGGAAACCCACGACCAGUGCAACAGAGAGCAAACCGCCGAUGGCCCACGUAAGUGGGAUCAGGUAAGGGUGAAAGGGUGCGGUAAGAGCGCACCGCGCGGCUGGUAACAGUCCGUGGCACGGUAAACUCCACCCGGAGCAAGGCCAAAUAGGGGUUCAUAAGGUACGGCCCGUACUGAACCCGGGUAGGCUGCUUGAGCCAGUGAGCGAUUGCUGGCCUAGAUGAAUGACUGUCCACGACAGAACCCGGCUUAUCGGUCAGUUUCACUU